Molecule: ribosomal RNA, 253 nt
Filed under: uncultured bacterium
Lineage: Bacteria
Description: partial 16S ribosomal RNA
Rfam family: Bacterial small subunit ribosomal RNA
Source: RNAcentral
UACGUAGGGCGCAAGCGUUGUCCGGAAUUAUUGGGCGUAAAGAGCUCGUAGGCGGCCCGUUAAGUCGGAUGUGAAAACCCGUGGCUCAACCACGGGCCUGCAUCCGAUACUGACGGGCUCGAGGCAGGCAGGGGAGAUCGGAAUUCCUGGUGUAGCGGUGAAAUGCGCAGAUAUCAGGAGGAACACCGGUGGCGAAGGCGGAUCUCUGGGCCUGUCCUGACGCUCAGGCGCGAAAGCUAGGGGAGCAAACAGG